UGUCUAGGGGGUGGCCAGGGGUGGCACGUGCUACCCCUGGAAUCUGAUUGGCCACCCCAGGUGCCACCCCAUAUGCUAAACUAUGAUUGGCUAUCUGCCCACGGAGGCGGGAACGUUUGAAUUGUGUGACUACCGAACUUUCAUUUUCAACCGACAAGAAGACAUCAAGAAGACAUCAAGAGAUUGCGGCUACUCGCUCCUGAAAGAUGUCUGUCAUCAUCGCGACUGUCGACAGUGUCGACUGACUCAGCUUGCUGCCUAGCAAACCUGUCCAGGGAUUCUUAGCUCCUGAAAGAUACUCAGACAAGGAUACUGGUGAUGAAGGCCCUUCAUCUUCACUUGCACAUCAGGGUGUGUCAAGUCAGCCACUCUCUGACAAUGACACUGACACUGAGAACCAUCCAGCAGUACCUGCAGGCCAUGCAGUGACACGUGGGGAUGGUGAUGCAGCAGCCCUUGUGGCCCCACCUGGACCUCAUGAUAUUUCACAGUCAAGAGCAGCAGGUCCCUCUCAGCCUCGUUUAAAGGUUUUUCCAAGAACCCUCCAAGGUGAGAAGAGGAGGGCGUUCAAUCCAGUGUGGUUUAACCACAAUUCCUGGCUUGAAUACUCACAAAGCAAAGAUUCAGCCUACUGUUACGCAUGCAGACACUUCUCCCUGCCUGGCGCGUCAGAAUCUGUUUUCUCCUCAGAAUCAGGCUUUUCACACUGGGAAAAAGCAACGUACAAAGAUGCUGGCUUUAAGUUGCAUGAGAAAUCUGAGUCUCACAUUAAUGCCAUGUUUGCUUGGAAUGAGCACAAGAGGCUAUUGCUUACAGAUUCUUCUAUCUUAGAUAUGAUUAACAAAGAGUACAAAAGAAAGUUGAAGAGAAUCGCAGUUACAUUAAAACAGUUGCAGAUGUACUGCUUUUGACAGCAACACAGAAUAUAGCACAAAGAGGUCACCGUGAAUCGGAAGAAUAUGACAACAAAGGGAAUUUCUUAGGAAUUCUAGAAAUGAUCGCUAAACACAAUCCUAUGGUAGCCCAAAAAAUGAAGGGACAACGCAAUGCAAAAUACACAAGCAAUACCAUACAGAAUGAAAUUCUGCAGUGCUUAGCAAGUAUGGUGCGUGAUGAGAUUGUGAAGGAAGUGAAGGAGAGUGUGGUAUUCUCUGUCAUUGCUGAUGAAACCAAAGA
RNA transcript from Pseudoliparis swirei, 1176 nucleotides. RefSeq lists it as uncharacterized. The record is from RefSeq and is a predicted model, not a curated record. The transcript is spliced from 5 exons. Lineage: Eukaryota; Metazoa; Chordata; Actinopteri; Perciformes; Liparidae.